AGGGCCAUAGCUCAGUUGGUUAGAGCGCUACCUUGACAUGGUAGAGGUCGUAAGUUCGAGUCUUAUUGGCCCUACCA
Molecule: transfer RNA, 77 nt
Filed under: Oligoflexia bacterium
Lineage: Bacteria; Pseudomonadati; Bdellovibrionota; Oligoflexia
Description: tRNA-Val
Rfam family: tRNA
About the family: Transfer RNA (tRNA) molecules are approximately 80 nucleotides in length. Their secondary structure includes four short double-helical elements and three loops (D, anti-codon, and T loops).
Source: RNAcentral